CGGAAUUCCAGGCCUAACACAUGCAAGUCGUGCGCGUGAAGCAGCCAAACAUCCUUCGGGAUGUGCGGCUUUGGAUCGAGCGGCGGACGGGUGAGUAACACGUGGGCAACCUGCCUUCGAGACUGGGAUAACGCCGGGAAACCGGCGCUAAUACCGGAUAAAGCCUGCCAUCACGUGAUGGCAGGAUGAAAGGCGGCUUCUUCGGAAGCUGUCACUUGAAGAUGGGCCCGCGGCGCAUUAGUUAGUUGGUGGGGUAAUGGCUCACCAAGGCGACGAUGCGUAGCCGACCUGAGAGGGUGAUCGGCCACACUGGGACUGAGACACGGCCCAGACUCCUACGGGAGGCAGCAGUAGGGAAUCUUCCGCAAUGGACGAAAGUCUGACGGAGCAAUGCCGCGUGAGUGAUGAAGGUCUCAGGAUCGUAAAGCUCUGUUGUCAGGGAAGAACACAUACCGCUCGAAGAGGGCGGUGUGCUGCCGGUACCUGACCAGAAAGCCCCGGCUAACUACGUGCCAGCAGCCGCGGUAAUACGUAGGGGGCAAGCGUUGUCCGGAAUUAUUGGGCGUAAAGGGCACGCAGGCGGUCUUUUAAGUCUGAUGUGAAAUCCUGCGGCUCAACCGCAGGCUUGCAUUGGAAACUGGAGGACUUGAGGACAGAAGAGGAGAGUGGAAUUCCACGUGUAGCGGUGAAAUGCGUAGAGAUGUGGAGGAACACCAGUGGCGAAGGCGACUCUCUGGUCUGUAACUGACGCUGAGGUGCGAAAGCAUGGGUAGCAAACAGGAUUAGAUACCCUGGUAGUCCAUGCCGUAAACGAUGAGUGCUAGGUGUCAGGGGGUUUCCGCCCCCUGGUGCUGAAGUUAACGCAUUAAGCACUCCGCCUGGGGAUUACGGCCGCAAGGCUGAAACUCAAAAGAAUUGACGGGGGCCCGCACAAGCGGUGGAGCAUGUGGUUUAAUUCGACGCAACGCGAAGAACCUUACCAGGUCUUGACAUCCUCUGCCAGCGCUGGAAACAGCGUGUUCCCUUCGGGGACAGAGUGACAGGUGGUGCAUGGUUGUCGUCAGCUCGUGUCGUGAGAUGUUGGGUUAAGUCCCGCAACGAGCGCAACCCCUAACCCUAGUUGCCAGCAUUCGGUUGGGCACUCUAGGGUGACUGCCGGUGACAAACCGGAGGAANGUGGGGAUGACGUCNAAUCAUCAUGCCCCUUAUGACCUGGGCUACACACGUGCUACAAUGGAUGGUACAA
RNAcentral lists this ribosomal RNA (1246 nucleotides) under Lentibacillus sp. RNAcentral describes it as "bacterial SSU rRNA". It matches the Rfam family "Bacterial small subunit ribosomal RNA", at positions 37 to 1242 of the family's 1533-position model. The record is from RNAcentral. Lineage: Bacteria; Bacillati; Bacillota; Bacilli; Caryophanales; Bacillaceae.